Molecule: long non-coding RNA, 1032 nt
Filed under: Phoenix dactylifera (date palm)
Lineage: Eukaryota; Viridiplantae; Streptophyta; Magnoliopsida; Arecales; Arecaceae
Description: long non-coding RNA (PDAC_LNC013223)
Source: RNAcentral
ACAUAUAUGCUAAUCAUGAAUAUGCUCAACAUGUCAUAGUACUGAAUCAUAUAAAUCAGGUGUCAAUAGGCUGAAUCAUCAACAAGACAGCUAUCGGGAGGUGGGUUUUACGCCCCAGGCGAACCAGCAACAACUCCCUACUGCCAUAUGCAUACAUCGAAUAUGACACCACACCAAUAUGUAAAUCAUCACUAGACAGCUGUCGGGAGGUGGGUUUUACGCCCCAGGCGAACCAGUAAUAACUCCCUACUGUCACAUGCAUAUGCAGGAUAAGACACCAUACUGAUAAUGUAAAUGCUAGACAGCUGUCGGGAGGUGGAUUUUACGCCCCAGGCGAACCAGCAACAACUCUCCACUGUCACAUGCAUAUGCAGGAUAAGAUACCACACUGAUCAUGUAAAUGUUAGACAGCUGUCGGGAGGUGGGUUUUACGCCCCAGGCGAACCAGCAACAACUCCCCACUGUCACAUGCAUAUGCAAGAUAAGACACCAUACUGAUGAUGUAAAUGCCGGCCAGUAUCCAGAACAGAAAUCCAUCUCACAUCUAUAUACUAAACGGCACCUCGCGGGAAUUCUACAUCCGCAGAAAGCCAUACUGCACCUCGCGGGGUCUUACUAUGCCCGGCGGCAAGCAGAAUAUAAAUCGUAGGACCGGCCGAUCCUACGCCUAGGGCCGUGUCCCCCCUAGGAAGGGACUGGGCUCCGCCCACCCAGAAGGCUACUAUGUGCACAAAGGCCGAUGUUCAACCUCCAUCGACUAUAGGUGUCCUGCAGAUACUGCCAAGCCAUGCAUGAAUGCCAUAAUGCACCCUCCCAAUACUCUACUAAAAAGGAGCAUAAUCAAGACUACCACUCACUCGGCCACGACCCAAUCAUAACUAACAUCAGGGUUAGGAGUGAGGGUCAAGGAAGUGCAAUGCAACUCAAUAUACCACUGAAAAGGGCUCUACAAAUCUUUGAAAUAGAGGAAAUGAAAUCAAUUUACAAAAGAAAUCAUUUCACAAUUCAGAAUCAAUUUGAUUACUCAUCAAC